RNAcentral lists this ribosomal RNA (433 nucleotides) under uncultured bacterium. RNAcentral describes it as "partial 16S ribosomal RNA". It matches the Rfam family "Bacterial small subunit ribosomal RNA", at positions 29 to 507 of the family's 1533-position model. The record is from RNAcentral.
AGCGAACGCUGGCGGCAGGCCUAACACAUGCAAGUCGAACGAACUCUUCGGAGUUAGUGGCGGACGGGUGAGUAACACGUGGGAACGUGCCUCUAGGUUCGGAAUAACUCAGGGAAACUUGUGCUAAUACCGACUGUGCCCUUCGGGGGAAAGAUUUAUCGCCUUUAGAGCGGCCCGCGUCUGAUUAGCUAGUUGGUGAGGUAAAGGCUCACCAAGGCGACGAUCAGUAGCUGGUCUGAGAGGAUGAUCAGCCACAUUGGGACUGAGACACGGCCCAAACUCCUACGGGAGGCAGCAGUGGGGAAUCUUGCGCAAUGGGCGAAAGCCUGACGCAGCCAUGCCGCGUGAAUGAUGAAGGUCUUAGGAUUGUAAAAUUCUUUCACCGGGGACGAUAAUGACGGUACCCGGAGAAGAAGCCCCGGCUAACUUCGUG